Molecule: ribosomal RNA, 484 nt
Filed under: uncultured bacterium
Lineage: Bacteria
Description: partial 16S ribosomal RNA
Rfam family: Bacterial small subunit ribosomal RNA
Source: RNAcentral
AUUGAACGCUGGCGGCAUGCUUUACACAUGCAAGUCGAGCGGCAGCGCGGGCUUCGGCCUGGCGGCGAGUGGCGAACGGGUGAGUAAUACAUCGGAACGUGCCCAGUAGUGGGGGAUAGCUCGGCGAAAGCCGGAUUAAUACCGCAUACGACCUGAGGGUGAAAGCGGGGGAUCUUCGGACCUCGCGCUAUUGGAGCGGCCGAUGGCAGAUUAGCUAGUUGGUGGGGUAAAGGCCUACCAAGGCGACGAUCUGUAGCUGGUCUGAGAGGACGACCAGCCACACUGGGACUGAGACACGGCCCAGACUCCUACGGGAGGCAGCAGUGGGGAAUUUUGGACAAUGGGCGAAAGCCUGAUCCAGCAAUGCCGCGUGUGUGAUGAAGGCCUUCGGGUUGUAAAGCACUUUUGGCGGGAACGAAGAGGACUGUGCCAAUACCACGGUUCGAUGACGGUACCCGCAGAAUAAGCACCGGCUAACUACGUG